Molecule: ribosomal RNA, 256 nt
Filed under: uncultured bacterium
Lineage: Bacteria
Description: partial 16S ribosomal RNA
Rfam family: Bacterial small subunit ribosomal RNA
Source: RNAcentral
UACGUAGGUGGCAAGCGUUGUCCGGAUUUAUUGGGUUUAAAGGGUGCGUAGGCGGUCUUAUAAGUCAGUGGUGAAAUACGGCAGCUCAACUGUCGAGGUGCCAUUGAUACUGUAGGACUUGAGUACAGACGAGGUAGGCGGAAUUGACGGUGUAGCGGUGAAAUGCUUAGAUAUCGUCAAGAACACCGAUAGCGAAGGCAGCUUACUAGGCUGUAACUGACGCUGAGGCACGAAAGUGUGGGGGAUCAAAACAGGG